AGCAGCCGCGGUAAUUCCAGCUCCAAUAGCGUAUAUUAAAGUUGUUGCAGUUAAAAAGCUCGUAGUUGAAUUUCGGGAUCAGUUGAUCGGUCGUGCCUCGGUACGUACUGGUCAAAUUGAUUCCUACCUUCUGACGAACCACGAUGUCAUUAAUUUGGUGUCGUGGGAAAUCAGGACUGUUACUUUGAAAAAAUUAGAGUGUUUAAAGCAGGCUCGCGCUUGAAUACAUUAGCAUGGAAUAAUGAAAUAGGACGUUUGAUUCUAUUUUGUUGGUUUCUAGGAUCGACGUAAUGAUUAAUAGGGAUAGUUGGGGGCAUUAGUAUUCAAUUGUCAGAGGUGAAAUUCUUGGAUUUAUUGAAGACUAACUACUGCGAAAGCAUUUGCCAAGGAUGUUUUCAUUAAUCAAGAACGAAAGUUAGGGGAUCGAAGACGAUCAGAUACCGUCGUAGUCUUAACCAUAAACUAUGCCGACUAG
Molecule: ribosomal RNA, 475 nt
Filed under: uncultured Glomus
Lineage: Eukaryota; Fungi; Glomeromycota; Glomeromycetes; Glomerales; Glomeraceae
Description: SSU rRNA
Rfam family: Eukaryotic small subunit ribosomal RNA
Source: RNAcentral